UACGUAGGGUGCGAGCGUUGUCCGGAAUUAUUGGGCGUAAAGGGCUCGUAGGCGGUCUGUCACGUCGGGAGUGAAAACACGGGGCUUAACCCCGUGCCUGCUUCCGAUACGGGCAGACUAGAGGUAUGCAGGGGAGAACGGAAUUCCUGGUGUAGCGGUGGAAUGCGCAGAUAUCAGGAGGAACACCGAUGGCGAAGGCAGGUCUCUGGGCCACUACUGACGCUGAGAAGCGAAAGCAUGGGGAGCGAACAGG
RNAcentral lists this ribosomal RNA (253 nucleotides) under uncultured bacterium. RNAcentral describes it as "partial 16S ribosomal RNA". It matches the Rfam family "Bacterial small subunit ribosomal RNA", at positions 524 to 776 of the family's 1533-position model. The record is from RNAcentral.